Molecule: ribosomal RNA, 506 nt
Filed under: uncultured bacterium
Lineage: Bacteria
Description: bacterial SSU rRNA
Rfam family: Bacterial small subunit ribosomal RNA
Source: RNAcentral
UCAGAACGAACGCUGGCGGCGCGUCUUAAGCAUGCAAGUCGGACGGCAAGGGGAGCUUGCUCCCCCCUAGAGUGGCGGACUGGUGAGUAACGCGUGGGUGACCUACCCUUGAGAUGGGGAUAGCCAUUAGAAAUAGUGGAUAAUACCGAAUACGCUCUUUUUGCUGUGGCGAGAAGAGGAAACAGGCUACGGCCUGGCUCGAGGAUGGGCCCGCGUCCCAUUAGCUAGUUGGUGAGGUAACGGCCCACCAAGGCGACGAUGGGUAUCCGGCCUGAGAGGGUGUACGGACACAUUGGGACUGAGAUACGGCCCAAACUCCUACGGGAGGCAGCAGCUAAGAAUAUUCCGCAAUGGACGAAAGUCUGACGGAGCGACGCCGCGUGGAUGAAGAAGGCCCGAAAGGUUGUAAAAUCCUUUUGCUGAUGAAGAAUAAGUGGUGUAGGGAAUGACAUCAUGAUGACAUUAGUCGGUGAAUAAGCCCCGGCUAACUACGUGCCAGCAGCUGC